Non-coding RNA from Vicia faba (fava bean), 270 nucleotides. The record is from the annotation of a GenBank genome assembly. Lineage: Eukaryota; Viridiplantae; Streptophyta; Magnoliopsida; Fabales; Fabaceae.
AUGAUUGAUCAGUAUAAACAUCAACACCUUCAAAUUGGAUCAGUUUCCUAUGAACAAAUAAGUGCUUGGGCAAAAAAAAUCCUACCUAAUGGAGAAAUAGUUGGGGAGGUAACAAAACCCUAUACUCUUCAUUAUAAAACCAAUAAGCCUGAAAAAUAUGGAUUAUUUUGUGAAAGAAUUUUUGGGCCUAUAAAAAGUGGGAUUUGUGCUUGUGGAAAUUAUCAAGUAAUCGAAGAUAAAAAAGACCAACCUCAAUUUUGUGAACAAUGA